GUGGGGAAUCUUGCGCAAUGGGCGAAAGCCUGACGCAGCCAUGCCGCGUGAAUGAUGAAGGUCUUAGGAUUGUAAAAUUCUUUCACCGGGGACGAUAAUGACGGUACCCGGAGAAGAAGCCCCGGCUAACUUCGUGCCAGCAGCCGCGGUAAUACGAAGGGGGCAAGCGUUGUCCGGAAUUACUGGGCGUAAAGGGCGCGUAGGCGGACAGCUUAGUCAGAGGUGAAAGCCCAGGGCUCAACCUUGGAAUUGCCUUUGAUACUGGCUGUCUUGAGUUUGGGAGAGGUGAGUGGAACUCCGAGUGUAGAGGUGAAAUUCGUAGAUAUUCGGAAGAACACCAGUGGCGAAGGCGACUCACUGGCCCAAUACUGACGCUGAGGCGCGAAAGCGUGGGGAGCAAACAGGAUUAGAAACCCUUGUAGUCC
RNAcentral lists this ribosomal RNA (425 nucleotides) under uncultured bacterium. RNAcentral's name for it is "partial 16S ribosomal RNA". It matches the Rfam family "Bacterial small subunit ribosomal RNA", at positions 354 to 796 of the family's 1533-position model. The record is from RNAcentral.